AUUUUAAUAGCUUAAAUUUUAAGAGCAUUAUAUUGAAGAUAUAAACGUGAAUAUUAAUUCUUAAAAUA
Molecule: transfer RNA, 68 nt
Filed under: Agnesiella aldera
Lineage: Eukaryota; Metazoa; Arthropoda; Insecta; Hemiptera; Cicadellidae
Also listed under: 1 other name
Description: tRNA-Phe
Source: RNAcentral